AUACGUAGGGGGCGAGCGUUGUCCGGAAUGAUUGGGCGUAAAGGGCGCGUAGGCGGCCCGGUAAGUCUGGAGUGAAAGUCCUGUUUUUAAGAUGGGAAUUGCUUUGGAUACUGUCGGGCUUGAGUGCAGGAGAGGUCAGUGGUAUUCCCAGUGUAGCGGUGAAAUGCGUAGAGAUUGGGAGGAACACCAGUGGCGAAGGCGACUUACUGGACUGUAACUGACGCUGAGGCGCGAAAGUGUGGGGAGCAAACAGGAUUAGAUACCCUGGUAGUCCACACUGUAAACGAUGAAUGCUAGGUGUAGGGGGUAUCGACCCCUUCUGUGCCGCAGUCAACACAAUAAGCAUUCCGCCUGGGGAGUACGGCCGCAAGGUUGAAACUCAAAGGAAUUGACGGGG
Molecule: ribosomal RNA, 397 nt
Filed under: uncultured bacterium
Lineage: Bacteria
Description: partial 16S ribosomal RNA
Rfam family: Bacterial small subunit ribosomal RNA
Source: RNAcentral